Long non-coding RNA from Oncorhynchus kisutch (coho salmon), 1095 nucleotides. RefSeq lists it as uncharacterized. The transcript has 3 exons. The record is from RefSeq and is a predicted model, not a curated record. Lineage: Eukaryota; Metazoa; Chordata; Actinopteri; Salmoniformes; Salmonidae.
CCUGCAGGCCACCUGAACUAAAGUCAGCAUCUGCUGCUUCCUCUGCAUCGAGCUUGGUCUACGCUCUCCUUCACCGUCUUGUUCUCUCUGUCUUUCUCAUCUGAAACUCCUACACCUGAUUCCCUGUCCUCUAGACAAUUCAAGACUUUAACCCUGUUGUAUUGAUUUAAAACGAUGAUGCAUCUAUAAUUGCUAAAAAACUUUGUGGUUGGCUUACUUCUUCUCUUUAUACUAUGCUGUACAUCUGUUGCAGAUUGAGGGGGUGGAUUCAUGCAAUUUAUCCUGGUAGGUACUGCCUCGGUGGACAGUGUCUUCUGUGAACCCCGUUGAAAGAUCCUUUUCUGGACUUGUGCAGACAUGUCCCUACACCUGAUGUUUCUCAGCCAUGUCUUCCUUCUGAGUAAUUGCAACAGUUCUACCCUUUCUAGGAGCGGAAGAGACCUCAGGUUUCUGGGAAUCUACAACGCCCAUUGUUUAUUUUAACUUCUCCUCUGGGACCCCCAGCCAUUGUGUGUGUAUAAAGUUUAUGAUUGUGUUCUCAAUCCUUGUUCUUAUACCACUACACUGACAUUUUAAAUAGUCCUUUAGAUGUUCCUGAGUCUGAGGACACCUCCUGCCAUCUGAAACUACCUGAUUUUUGAAUGUAUGUUUGUUUUGCUCCAUGUGUAACUCUGUCUGUGUCGAACUGCUUUGCUUUAUCUUGGCCAGGUCGCAAUUGUAAAUGAGAACUUGUUCUCAACUUGCCUACCUGGUGAAAUAAAAGAUCCAGAACACUACUGAUUACAUAGCCAUGACGUGUGCCUCACCAUGCAAUAUUUAUUACAUACCUUUCAACAUCUGUUGGAAACUGGGAAAAUGAUUUUUCCUCCCUUCCUCUGGACAGUAUUGCUGCACAUUGUCAUAACUGCAUUAGUUAUCAGUAUCUUUGACAACAAUCACAUGGGAUUCCAGCUCAACAACUUCAUAAUCAAGAAUGGGAAAUAAGCUUGGCAUAAUGAUUUGUUUUUUGCUUCCUCUCCCCCUAAACAAAAUCAGAACAUUUGACAAUAAAAGGCAUUUAUUGAUGACAUGUUUCUUAUCAUGAAAAUAAAGUUA